UAAUCAUUAUAUAAAGGAACCUCUUUGAUCAUUAAUAAUAACACAGAAAUAUUCAGUCUCUAAACUCUCUAUUUACAACACGUUAUCAGCACGAUAGACUCCAAAACCCUGAGACAAAACCUAACCUAAAAUCCGUCACACAUAAACCCUAAAUCAUGCGCAACUUAAGAUCAAUCUAUCUCUCAAACCCUGAGGAACCAGACGACGCUCCACAUAUCAAAUUGAAGCUCUUGACGAGACGAAUCCAUCAGCGCAAACCGUUCGUCGAUC
Molecule: long non-coding RNA, 270 nt
Filed under: Brassica napus (rape)
Lineage: Eukaryota; Viridiplantae; Streptophyta; Magnoliopsida; Brassicales; Brassicaceae
Description: long non-coding RNA (BNAP_LNC018631)
Source: RNAcentral